UUAGCAGUAGGGGGAUCUUCCACAAUGGACGCAAGUCUGAUGGAGCAACGCCGCGUGAGUGAAGAAGGUUUUCGGAUCGUAAAGCUCUGUUGUUGGUGAAGAAGGAUAGAGGUAGUAACUGGCCUUUAUUUGACGGUAAUCAACCAGAAAGUCACGGCUAACUACGUGCCAGCAGCCGCGGUAAUACGUAGGUGGCAAGCGUUGUCCGGAUUUAUUGGGCGUAAAGCGAGCGCAGGCGGAAGAAUAAGUCUGAUGUGAAAGCCCUCGGCUUAACCGAGGAACUGCAUCGGAAACUGUUCUGAUGCAGG
Molecule: ribosomal RNA, 308 nt
Filed under: Lactobacillus sp.
Lineage: Bacteria; Bacillati; Bacillota; Bacilli; Lactobacillales; Lactobacillaceae
Description: bacterial SSU rRNA
Rfam family: Bacterial small subunit ribosomal RNA
Source: RNAcentral